AGUGGCCCCAGGAAAGGCAAGCCCCAAGCUUGCCCAUUGUGGGCAGAAGGAUCCUCCUCGGAUCAUCACCGCUUCCAGCCAUUGCCCUUGUCCUGUCAUCAGGCAUCGCCAAGAAGAGUCUGGCUCCAUCCUCCUGGCACUCAUUUCUCCUUCUGUCUCAUGGAAAAACAACAGUUGCCCCUUCUGUACACUGCACAAACCGGUGAAGCAAUUGGAGACUCCUUUGAAGUUCCAGCCCUUAACAACAGAGACUUUUCUGCACAUCUUCUGAAUGUAUUUCUGUUGUUCAAUCUCAUUUCCAAAUAAGCCAGUUGUUGGUUUGUGUCACUGAACCUAAUGCUUUCAAUAUGAUGUUCUGUGCUCAUGAAGGAGGGAUGUAUGAAAAAUAAAGACAUCACAUGGCUGAGACAGGUUGCAAUGAGGGAAAACAUUCUGCCAUUGAGGCAAAAUAUCCUGCCAUUAAGGUAAAUCUACUCCUUAUGGAUACUCAAAAUCUGAAGUUUUUGUUGCUUUCAGAAAGUGGAAAUAAACAUUUGUUGAAUUAA
Molecule: long non-coding RNA, 545 nt
Organism: Pogoniulus pusillus (Red-fronted tinkerbird)
Lineage: Eukaryota; Metazoa; Chordata; Aves; Piciformes; Lybiidae
Exons: 3
Source: RefSeq, a predicted model, not a curated record